Molecule: ribosomal RNA, 524 nt
Filed under: uncultured Glomus
Lineage: Eukaryota; Fungi; Glomeromycota; Glomeromycetes; Glomerales; Glomeraceae
Description: SSU rRNA
Rfam family: Eukaryotic small subunit ribosomal RNA
Source: RNAcentral
CCAGCAGCCGCGGUAAUCCAGCUCCAAUAGCGUAUAUUAAAGUGUUGCAGUUAAAAGCUCGUAGUUGAAUUUCGAGAUCGGCUUACUGGUCGUGCUUUUGUACGUACUGGUAUAAUCGGUUUCUCCUUUCUGACGAACUUUUAAUGCCAUUAAUUUGGUGUUUUAGGGAAUCAGGACUGUUACUUGAAAAAUUAGAGUGUUUAAAGCAGGCUCACGCUUGAAUACAUUAGCAUGGAAUAACGGAAUAGGACGUUUGAUUCUAUUUUAGUUGGUUUCUAGGGAUCGACGUAAUGAUUAAUAGGGAUAGUUGGGGGGCAUUAGUAUUCAAUUGUCAGAGGUGAAAUUCUUGGAUUUAUUGAAGACUAACUACUGCGAAAGCAUUUGCCAAGGAUGUUUUCAUUAAUCAAGAACGAAAGUUAGGGGGAUCGAAGACGAUCAGAUACCGUCGUAGUCUUAACCAUAAACUAUGCCGACUAGGGAUCGGAUGAUGUUAAUUUUUUAAUGACUCAUUCGGCGCCUUACGG